This 255-nucleotide ribosomal RNA is filed under the name uncultured bacterium. RNAcentral's name for it is "partial 16S ribosomal RNA". It matches the Rfam family "Bacterial small subunit ribosomal RNA", at positions 524 to 776 of the family's 1533-position model. The record is from RNAcentral.
UACGUAGGGGGGCGAGCGUUGUCCGGAUUUAUUGGGCGUAAAGAGCUCGUAGGCGGUUUGGUAAGUUGGAUGUGAAAUCUCCAGGCUCAACUUGGAGGGGUCAUUCGAUACUGCCAUGACUAGAGUUCGGUAGGGGAGUGUGGAAUUCCUGGUGGAGCGGUGAAAUGCGCAGAUAUCAGGAGGAACACCGGUGGCGAAGGCGGGUCUCUGGGCCGAUAUCGACGCUGAGGAGCGAAAGCGUGGGGAGCGAACAGG